GCGGCAUGUGGUGUAACGGUUAGCACGCGGCCCUGUGAAGGCUGAGGAGAUGGGGUUCGACUCCCCCCGCGCCGCC
Molecule: transfer RNA, 76 nt
Filed under: Gemmata palustris
Lineage: Bacteria; Pseudomonadati; Planctomycetota; Planctomycetia; Gemmatales; Gemmataceae
Description: Gemmata sp. G18 tRNA-His
Rfam family: tRNA
About the family: Transfer RNA (tRNA) molecules are approximately 80 nucleotides in length. Their secondary structure includes four short double-helical elements and three loops (D, anti-codon, and T loops). Further hydrogen bonds mediate the characteristic L-shaped molecular structure. tRNAs have two regions of fundamental functional importance: the anti-codon, which is responsible for specific mRNA codon recognition, and the 3' end, to which the tRNAs corresponding amino acid is attached (by aminoacyl-tRNA synthetases). tRNAs cope with the degeneracy of the genetic code in two manners: having more than one tRNA (with a specific anti-codon) for a particular amino acid; and 'wobble' base-pairing, i.e. permitting non-standard base-pairing at the 3rd anti-codon position.
Source: RNAcentral